AGACCCGAAACCCGGUGAUCUAGCCAUGGGCAGGUUGAAGGUUGGGUAACACUAACUGGAGGACCGAACCGACUAAUGUUGAAAAAUUAGCGGAUGACCUGUGGCUGGGGGUGAAAGGCCAAUCAAACCGGGAGAUAGCUGGUUCUCCCCGAAAGCUAUUUAGGUAGCGCCUCGUGAAUUCAUCUCCGGGGGUAGAGCACUGUUUCGGCUAGGGGGCCAUCCCGGCUUACCAACCCGAUGCAAACUGCGAAUACCGGAGAAUGUUAUCACGGGAGACACACGGCGGGUGCUAACGUCCGUCGUGAAGAGGGAAACAACCCAGACCGCCAGCUAAGGUCCCAAAGUCAUGGUUAAGUGGGAAACGAUGUGGGAAGGCCCAGACAGCCAGGAUGUUGGCUUAGAAGCAGCCAUCAUUUAAAGAAAGCGUAAUAGCUCACUGGUCGAGUCGGCCUGCGCGGAAGAUGUAACGGGGCUAAACCAUGCACCGAAGCUGCGGCAGCGAACGUAUCACCCAAGACAACUUUACGGAGUUGACGAUUGACGGAGCGAAGCGACGUCAAAGCGUUCAUUAAAGUCGAGUUGGCUUAGGGAUACGUUCGUUGGGUAGG
Molecule: ribosomal RNA, 608 nt
Filed under: Salmonella enterica
Lineage: Bacteria; Pseudomonadati; Pseudomonadota; Gammaproteobacteria; Enterobacterales; Enterobacteriaceae
Also listed under: 2 other names
Description: partial 23S ribosomal RNA
Rfam family: Bacterial large subunit ribosomal RNA
Source: RNAcentral